GACGAACGCUGGCGGCGUGCUUAACACAUGCAAGUCGAACGAAGAGCGAUGGAAGCUUGCUUCUAUCAAUCUUAGUGGCGAACGGGUGAGUAACGCGUAAUCAACCUGCCCUUCAGAGGGGGACAACAGUUGGAAACGACUGCUAAUACCGCAUACGAUCUAAUCUCGGCAUCGAGGAUAGAUGAAAGGUGGCCUCUACAUGUAAGCUAUCACUGAAGGAGGGGAUUGCGUCUGAUUAGCUAGUUGGAGGGGUAACGGCCCACCAAGGCGAUGAUCAGUAGCCGGUCUGAGAGGAUGAACGGCCACAUUGGGACUGAGACACGGCCCAGACUCCUACGGGAGGCAGCAGUGGGGAAUCUUCCGCAAUGGACGAAAGUCUGACGGAGCAACGCCGCGUGAGUGAUGACGGCCUUCGGGUUGUAAAGCUCUGUUAAUCGGGACGAAAGGCCU
Molecule: ribosomal RNA, 450 nt
Filed under: Veillonella parvula
Lineage: Bacteria; Bacillati; Bacillota; Negativicutes; Veillonellales; Veillonellaceae
Description: bacterial SSU rRNA
Rfam family: Bacterial small subunit ribosomal RNA
Source: RNAcentral